Molecule: ribosomal RNA, 468 nt
Filed under: uncultured bacterium
Lineage: Bacteria
Description: partial 16S ribosomal RNA
Rfam family: Bacterial small subunit ribosomal RNA
Source: RNAcentral
GACGAACGCUGGCGGCGUGCUUAACACAUGCAAGUCGAACGGAAAGGCCCUGCUGUUGUGGGGUGCUCGAGUGGCGAACGGGUGAGUAACACGUGAGUAACCUGCCCUUGACUUUGGGAUAACUUCAGGAAACUGGGGCUAAUACCGGAUAGGAGCUCCUGCUGCAUGGUGGGGGUUGGAAAGUUUCGGCGGUUGGGGAUGGACUCGGGGCUUAUCAGCUUGUUGGUGGGGUAGUGGCGUACCAAGGCUUUGACGGGUAGCCGGCCUGAGAGGGUGACCGGCCACAUUGGGACUGCGAUACGGCCCAGACUGCUACAGGAGGCAGCAGUGGGGAAUAUUGCACAAUGGGCGGAAGCCUGAUGCAGCAGCGCCGCGUGCGGGAUGACGGCCUUCGGGUUGUAAACCGCUUUCGCCUGUGACGAAGCGUGAGUGACGGUAAUGGGUAAAGAAGCACCGGCUAACUACGUG